GAUGAAGAACGUAGCGAAAUGCGAUAAGUAAUGUGAAUUGCAGAAUUCAGUGAAUCAUCGAAUCUUUGAACGCAUCUUGCGCUCCUUGGUAUUCUGAGGAGCAUGCCUGUUUGAGUGUCAUUAAAUUCUCAACUACACUGACUUUGAGUUGGUGUGGCUUGGAUUUGGGGGGAAAAUUGUUGUGGGCUUUUUGUAUAGUCUGCUCCCCUGAAAUUGAUUAGCGGUACCUUUGUGGAACUGUCUACAGGUGUGAUAAUUAUCUACAUCUUAGACAUCUGCUGGAAUGCUGCUUUCUAAACCUUACUUGUAUUGACAAUCUUGACCUCAAAUCAGGUAGGACUACCCGCUGAACUUAAGCAUAUCAAUAAGCGGAGGA
This 376-nucleotide unclassified non-coding RNA is filed under the name soil metagenome. RNAcentral's name for it is "partial contains 5.8S ribosomal RNA, internal transcribed spacer 2, and large subunit ribosomal RNA". The stretch from base 1 to 120 matches the Rfam family "5.8S ribosomal RNA", at positions 35 to 154 of the family's 154-position model. The record is from RNAcentral.